UAGGGAAUAUUAGUAAUGGGCGAAAGCCUGAACUAGCAACGCCGCGUGUGCGAAGAAGGCCUUCGGGUUGUAAAGCACUUUUUGAGAGGAUGAGGAAGGACGGUACUCUCAGAAUAAGUCUCGGCUAACUACGUGCCAGCAGCCGCGGUAACACGUAGGAGGCGAACGUUAUCCGGAUUUACUGGGCGUAAAGCGCGUGUAGGUGGUUUGGUAAGUAGGGCGUGAAAGCUCCUGGCUCAACUGGGAGAGGCCGUUCUAAACUGCCGAACUAGAGGAUGGUAGAGGGAGGUGGAAUUCCGGGUGUAGCGGUGGAAUGCGCAGAUAUCAGGAGGAACACCAGUGGCGAAAGCGGCGUCCUGGACCAUUCCUGACACUCAGACGCGAAAGCUAGGGUAG
RNAcentral lists this ribosomal RNA (396 nucleotides) under uncultured bacterium. RNAcentral's name for it is "bacterial SSU rRNA". It matches the Rfam family "Bacterial small subunit ribosomal RNA", at positions 355 to 768 of the family's 1533-position model. The record is from RNAcentral.